UGGUUCUGGCAUCGAUGAAGAACGCAGCGAAAUGCGAUAAGUAAUGUGAAUUGCAGAAUUCAGUGAAUCAUCGAAUCUUUGAACGCACAUUGCGCCCUCUGGCAUUCCGGAGGGCAUGCCUGUUCGAGCGUCAUUAAAUCCACUCAAGCUCUGCUUGGUCUUGAGCGCUUCUGCCCCUCCUCUUUCCUCGGAAAAAGGGGGCAGACGCUCGAAAGAUGUUGGCGGCACCGGCGAAGCCUCAUGCGUUAGCAACGUUAACCGCACUGUCAGGCGUUUCGCUCCGGGGCUCGCUCCCAGAAAACCCAACACCUUCAAGGUUGACCUCGGAUCAGGUAGGGAUACCCGCUGA
Molecule: unclassified non-coding RNA, 349 nt
Filed under: uncultured fungus
Lineage: Eukaryota; Fungi
Description: partial contains 5.8S ribosomal RNA and internal transcribed spacer 2
Rfam family: 5.8S ribosomal RNA (bases 1-133)
Source: RNAcentral